CAUGUGGUUUAAUUCGAAGCAACGCGAAGAACCUUACCAGGUCUUGACAUCCCGAUGCUAUUCUAGAGAUAGAAAGUUACUUCGGUACAUCGGUGACAGGUGGUGCAUGGUUGUCGUCAGCUCGUGUCGUGAGAUGUUGGGUUAAGUCCCGCAACGAGCGCAACCCUCGACCUUAGUUGCCAGCAUUCAGUUGGGCACUCUAAGGUGACUGCCGGCUAAAAGUCGGAGGAAGUGGGGAUGACGUCAAAUCAUCAUGCCCCUUAUGACCUGGGCUACACACGUGCUACAAUGGGCGGUACAAAGGGUCGCGAACCCGCGAGGGGGAGCCAAUCCCAAAAAGCCGCUCUCAGUUCGGAUUGCAGGCUGCAACUCGCCUGCAUGAAGCCGGAAUCGCUAGUAAUCGCGGAUCAGCAUGCCGCGGUGAAUACGUUCCCGGGCCUU
Molecule: ribosomal RNA, 441 nt
Filed under: uncultured Anoxybacillus sp.
Lineage: Bacteria; Bacillati; Bacillota; Bacilli; Caryophanales; Anoxybacillaceae
Description: bacterial SSU rRNA
Rfam family: Bacterial small subunit ribosomal RNA
Source: RNAcentral